AACAUGGAUGGACUGCGGUGCAUUAGCUGGUUGGUGAGGUAACGGCCCACCAAGGCGACGAUGCAUAGCCGGCCUGAGAGGGCGGACGGCCACAUUGGGACUGAGACACGGCCCAAACUCCUACGGGAGGCAGCAGUAGGGGAUUUUCGUCAAUGGGGGGAACCCUGAACGAGCAAUGCCGCGUGAGUGAGGAAGGUCUUUGGAUCGUAAAGCUCUGUUGUAAGAGAAAUGGUAUCUUACCAGAAAGUCACGGCUAACUACGUGCCAGCAGCCGCGGUAAUACGUAGGUGGCGAGCGUUAUCCGGAAUGAUUGGGCGUAAAGGGUGCGUAGGUGGCAGAUCAAGUCUGGAGUAAAAGGUAUGGGCUCAACCCGUACUGGCUCUGGAAACUGAUCGGCUAGAGAACAGAAGAGGACGGCGGUACUCCAUGUGUAGCGGUAAAAUGCGUAGAUAUAUGGAAGAACACCGGUGGCGAAGGCGGCCGUCUGGUCUGAUUCUGACACUGAAGCACGAAAGCGUGGGGAGCAAAUAGGAUUAGAUACCCUAGUAGUCCACGCCGUAAACGAUGAGAACUAGGUGUUGGGC
RNAcentral lists this ribosomal RNA (584 nucleotides) under uncultured bacterium. RNAcentral's name for it is "bacterial SSU rRNA". It matches the Rfam family "Bacterial small subunit ribosomal RNA", at positions 218 to 828 of the family's 1533-position model. The record is from RNAcentral.